AACGAACGCUGGCGGCGCGCCUAAUACAUGCAAGUCGAGCGAGAAGACGUAGCAAUACGUUUGUAAAGCGGCGAACGGGUGAGGAAUACAUGGGUAACCUACCCUCGAGUGGGGAAUAACUAGCCGAAAGGUUAGCUAAUACCGCGUACGCUCCUUGGACUUCGGUUCAGGGAGGAAAGCGAUACCGUGGGUAUCGCGCUCUUGGAUGGGCUCAUGUCCUAUCAGCUUGUUGGUGAGGUAACGGCUCACCAAGGCUUCGACGGGUAGCUGGUCUGAGAGGACAAUCAGCCACACUGGCACUGCGACACGGGCCAGACUCCUACGGGAGGCAGCAGUAAGGAAUAUUGCGCAAUGGGCGAAAGCCUGACGCAGCGACGCCGCGUGGGGGAUGAAGGUCUUCGGAUUGUAAACCCCUUUCGGGAGGGAAGAUGGAACGAGCAAUCGUUCGGACGGUACCUCCAGAAGCAGCCACGGCUAACUUCGUGCCAGCCGCCGCGGUAAG
RNAcentral lists this ribosomal RNA (502 nucleotides) under uncultured bacterium. RNAcentral describes it as "bacterial SSU rRNA". It matches the Rfam family "Bacterial small subunit ribosomal RNA", at positions 29 to 524 of the family's 1533-position model. The record is from RNAcentral.